CUCGUCACUCGGUCGCAGGUGGCGGG
This 26-nucleotide non-coding RNA is filed under the name unclassified sequences. The record is from RNAcentral.